RNAcentral lists this long non-coding RNA (793 nucleotides) under Manihot esculenta (cassava). RNAcentral describes it as "long non-coding RNA (MESC_LNC011998)". Lineage: Eukaryota; Viridiplantae; Streptophyta; Magnoliopsida; Malpighiales; Euphorbiaceae. The record is from RNAcentral.
GCAGGUUUACUCUCUUUUGCUCCAAAUAAGGCAGUUUUAGGGGGAUUUUCUUCAAAAUGUCCUUUUACACCAUUUUCUGCAAAAUAAUAUUAAAAACAAUAAAUUAAGUAGAAAUCAUGUAAAUAUUCAUCAAUAAUAUUAAUAUAAAAUGUACUAAAUUAUGCUCUAUCAAAUACCCCCACACUUAGCCUUUUGCUUGUCCUCAAGCAAAUAAACAUAGUUAAAUAAGCUUCCUCAUUCUAAAUCCUUAUUUCCACUUAACCUCUUACUCUAGACCCCUAUUUUGAAUCAUUGCAGUGAAGAAUAUAUGCAUGAAGAUUACUCACCUUCUUUCCUUGUUUCCCUUUACUUACCAUGGCUAGGAUUUGUUUUCCUCAAGAGAGACCAUACAUGCACAUUUUUGUUAAGACUUUUUCUAGCUUUUGGAUUGACUUGCCCUUACCUUGAAGUACUUUAUUCAAGCUUUUGCACUUUAGAUCUCGCUUGGAAAGGUUACCAACCUAUUUUUGAUUUGAAGGUUUAUAUUUUUCAGUUGGUCACCUAUCCAAGUGGCUACUUGCCUUGUUCAUAGUCUUUUGACUAUUGGAACAAUUUUCAAUUUGUACUUUUGAGGUCUUUGCCUUUGCUGAAUUUUCUUUCUCUCAAUGAUUUGGGCAAAUCAACACCAAUCGCUAAAUCAAGUCACAUUAAGUUCAUUCACACAAUUUUAAUUUAUUCUCAAUCAAUUGAGGGUCAUCAAUAUAUUUUUCACCAUGGCAAACUCAAAGAUUCAAUUCAAAAGGCAAUUCUNNNN